Molecule: transfer RNA, 65 nt
Filed under: Tetraleurodes acaciae (acacia whitefly)
Lineage: Eukaryota; Metazoa; Arthropoda; Insecta; Hemiptera; Aleyrodidae
Description: tRNA-Cys
Source: RNAcentral
AUAUUAAUAGUUAAUAAAUAACUUUAAAAUGCAAUUUUAAAAUAAACAAGAAAAGUUUUAAUAUA